This 494-nucleotide ribosomal RNA is filed under the name uncultured bacterium. Its description in RNAcentral is "partial 16S ribosomal RNA". It matches the Rfam family "Bacterial small subunit ribosomal RNA", at positions 29 to 507 of the family's 1533-position model. The record is from RNAcentral.
AUUGAACGCUGGCGGCAUGCUUUACACAUGCAAGUCGAACGGCAGCGGGGAGUAGCGUGCGUCGCUGCCGGGGAGUGGGGAACGGAUGAGAAAUACAUGGGAACUGGUGGGGGGGAGGGGGAGAAGCACGCUAAGGGGAUGCUGAAACCGCAUAAAGGGUGAAGGAGAAAGCUGGGGACCGGCGAAUAGGCGUAGGACCGGUUGAGGGCCGGAUGGCUGAUUAGCUAGGUGGUGGGGUAAAGGCGCACCAAGGCGAAGAUCGGUAGCGGGUCUGAGAGGAUGAUCCGCCACACUGGGACUGAGACACGGCCCAGACUCCUACGGGAGGCAGCAGUGGGGAAUUUUGGACAAUGGGGGCAACCCUGAUCCAGCAAUGCCGCGUGUAUGAAGAAGGCCUUAGGGUUGUAAAGUACUUUUGUUCGGGAAGAAAAGGCAGUUGUGAAUACCGGCUGUUACUGACGGUACCUAAAGAAUAAGCACCGGCUAACUACGUG